GUGGGGAAUUUUGGACAAUGGGCGCAAGCCUGAUCCAGCAAUGCCGCGUGCAGGAAGAAGGCCUUCGGGUUGUAAACUGCUUUUGUACGGAACGAAACGGUCCGGGUUAAUACCCUGGGCUAAUGACGGUACCGUAAGAAUAAGCACCGGCUAACUACGUGCCAGCAGCCGCGGUAAUACGUAGGGUGCAAGCGUUAAUCGGAAUUACUGGGCGUAAAGCGUGCGCAGGCGGUUUUGUAAGACAGGCGUGAAAUCCCCGGGCUCAACCUGGGAAUUGCGCUUGUGACUGCAAGGCUGGAGUGCGGCAGAGGGGGAUGGAAUUCCGCGUGUAGCAUUGAAAUGCGUAGAUAUGCGGAGGAACACCGAUGGUGAAGGCAAUCCCCUGGGCCUGCACUGACGCUCAUGCACGAAAGCGUGGGGAGCAAACAGGAUUAGAAACCCCUGUAGUCC
This 450-nucleotide ribosomal RNA is filed under the name uncultured bacterium. RNAcentral describes it as "partial 16S ribosomal RNA". It matches the Rfam family "Bacterial small subunit ribosomal RNA", at positions 354 to 796 of the family's 1533-position model. The record is from RNAcentral.